CGCGGCCUAUCAGCUUGUUGGCGAGGUAAAGGCUCACCAAGGCAUUGACGGGUAGCUGGUCUGAGAGGACGAUCAGCCACGCUGGGACUGAGACACGGCCCAGACUCCUGCGGGAGGCAGCAGUGGGGAAUCUUGCGCAAUGGGCGAAAGCCUGACGCAGCAACGCCGCGUGGGGGAUGAAGGCUCUCGGGUUGUAAACCCCUUUCAGCAGGGACGAAAUUGACGGUACCUGUAGAAGAAGCCCCGGCCAACUACGUGCCAGCAGCCGCGGUAACACGCAGGGGGCGAGCGUUGUCCGGAAUUAUUGGGCGUAAAGGGCUCGUAGGCGGUUCGGUAAGUCAGAUGUGAAAGGUUGGGGCUCAACCCUAAGACUGCAUUUGAUACUGCCGUGACUAGAGUCCGGUAGAGGAGUGUGGAAUUCCUGGUGUAGCGGUGAAAUGCGCAGAUAUCAGGAGGAACACCGACGGCGAAGGCAGCACUCUGGGCCGGUACUGACGCUGAGGAGCGAAAGCGUGGGUAGCAAGCAGGAUUAGAUACCCUGGUAGUCCACGCCGUAAACGUUGGGCACUAGGUGUGGGACCUUAUCAACGGGUUCCGUGCCGUAGCUAACGCAUUAAGUGCCCCGCCUGGGGAGUACGG
RNAcentral lists this ribosomal RNA (639 nucleotides) under uncultured bacterium. RNAcentral describes it as "bacterial SSU rRNA". It matches the Rfam family "Bacterial small subunit ribosomal RNA", at positions 232 to 885 of the family's 1533-position model. The record is from RNAcentral.